RNAcentral lists this ribosomal RNA (303 nucleotides) under Staphylococcus aureus. RNAcentral's name for it is "bacterial LSU rRNA". It matches the Rfam family "Bacterial large subunit ribosomal RNA", at positions 1458 to 1758 of the family's 2925-position model. The record is from RNAcentral. Lineage: Bacteria; Bacillati; Bacillota; Bacilli; Caryophanales; Staphylococcaceae.
UAAUCGAUGGGGGGACGCAGUAGGAUAGGCGAAGCGUGCGAUUGGAUUGCACGUCUAAGCAGUAAGGCUGAGUAUUAGGCAAAUCCGGUACUCGUUAAGGCUGAGCUGUGAUGGGGAGAAGACAUUGAGUCUUCGAGUCGUUGAUUUCACACUGCCGAGAAAAGCCUCUAGAUAGAAAAUAGGUGCCCGUACCGCAAACCGACACAGGUAGUCAAGAUGAGAAUUCUAAGGUGAGCGAGCGAACUCUCGUUAAGGAACUCGGCAAAAUGACCCCGUAACUUCGGGAGAAGGGGUGCUCUUUAG